Molecule: non-coding RNA, 846 nt
Organism: Oryctolagus cuniculus (rabbit)
Lineage: Eukaryota; Metazoa; Chordata; Mammalia; Lagomorpha; Leporidae
Source: RefSeq, a predicted model, not a curated record
CAGUUGAUUAUGCCUUACAUUGGGAGUGGUGCUUUCUCUGGCAUGAAGUGGGUGUUACUGGCAGACUUGUCCUUUGUCUUUUUGCAAGAUAAUUUAUUCAUAUCAUAGGCAUGGAAAAGAGAAAGAUAAAGGGCAGAAAAGGAAUAGGUGGCCCUGCUGGAAAAUAAAUGAGACGAGCAACGUGCAGUAAGGCAAGCAGCACUAAUGCACCCAGCAAAGUCUAGUGCGGAUCGGUUAGGAAGAGAGUCCUCAGGCGGACAUGUCAAUCUAGGGCUUUUGAAAACUGACCCUCUCUGGCCUCCGACACAAAGACAGUCUUGAGACAUGCCCUAGAGUUGGUACCAACAGCCUGGAUUCAAGACACAGCUGCCUCUUCCUGUAACCUCAGGCCCUCCUGAAGUGUCAAGAAUCAAAUUCCACGCCCUUAUUCAGAAGGACUGCAGGAACAAUAAGAGAAACCAUAGUGCCCUCAAUAUAAUUGAAAACAAAAGGAAAUACGAACACAUUCAUGAAUGCCAGUGCCAUGCUCACAGCACCGUGUCCAAGCCACGCGGGAUACAACUAUUUUCCAUCACGGUCUCACCUCUGAAACAGAGCCAGGGUCUCCUUUGCUUUCGCCGGAUGUGGGAGCGACUGUUGAAAGAGCACGAGAGCCGGCAGGGUUCCAGUGAAGUGGAGCAGGAUGCUGGUGGAGAGGUUCUGCAGAUUUGACAGAUUGCUCUUCGGGCGGGACUGGCUGCUGCCAAGAGCAGAGAGAAGAGAGAUGAGGGUGACCUCGCCAUUACGCCCUUGGGAUCCAUCCAGCCUCUGAUGCUGCAGCCUUAGCAGCUGUCAGGCGGCCCUUCC